GACGAACGCUGGCGGCGUGCUUAACACAUGCAAGUCGAGCGGUAAGGCCCUUUCGGGGGUACACGAGCGGCGAACGGGUGAGUAACACGUGGGUGACCUGCCCUCAGCUCUGGGAUAAGCCUGGGAAACCGGGUCUAAUACCGGAUAUGACUCCAUGACGCAUGUUGUGGGGUGGAAAGCCUUGUGCGGCUGAGGAUGGGCCCGCGGCCUAUCAGCUUGUUGGUGGGGUGANGGCCUACCAAGGCGACGACGGGUAGCCGGCCUGAGAGGGCGACCGGCCACACUGGGACUGAGACACGGCCCAGACUCCUACGGGAGGCAGCAGUGGGGAAUCUUGCGCAAUGGGCGAAAGCCUGACGCAGCGACGCCGCGUGAGGGAUGACGGCCUCGGUUGUAACGU
This 400-nucleotide ribosomal RNA is filed under the name uncultured bacterium. RNAcentral describes it as "bacterial SSU rRNA". It matches the Rfam family "Bacterial small subunit ribosomal RNA", at positions 28 to 431 of the family's 1533-position model. The record is from RNAcentral.